Molecule: RNA transcript, 982 nt
Organism: Zingiber officinale
Lineage: Eukaryota; Viridiplantae; Streptophyta; Magnoliopsida; Zingiberales; Zingiberaceae
Gene name: protein yippee-like At4g27745
Exons: 4
Source: RefSeq, a predicted model, not a curated record
AAUUAUAAUGUUUAUUUAUUUUCCCUUUUUAAAGUUUAAGUUUUUCAGUAUUUAACAAAUUUAUAGUUUAAAAUUAAUUUUAAUAAAAUUUCGAUCUUCUCAUAGAGAGAGAACAAGAUUUCUCUCUUCCCACCCUUCCGACGCCCAGCGAUCUCCAGUCUCCCUUUCGUUCGAGCAGAAGCCAUCAAUGUCCUGUUCUUUCUUCCUCGCCUUUCCAAGUUCCAGCCAUCGUUUGUUCUUUAUCCCCUUUCCUCCAAAUCCUUGCCCCUCGCCUUCAUUUCCUUGUAGAGGGCUUUUAGGUUCUCCCGAAAAAGUGUUAACUUUCUUGUUUUUUUUUCUCGAUUCGGGGCAAUCAAGAAAGGUGCCGGGAGCGAUUCAUGGCGAGUUUGGCUGGGCCUCGAGUAUACAGCUGCAGUAAUUGCCGAAAUGAGGUUUGCCUUCACGACGAUGUCAUAUCGAAAGCUUUCCAGGGGAGAAACGGACGUGCAUUUCUAUUUUCUCAUGCCAUGAACAUAGUUGUUGGGCCAAAGGAAGAUAGGCAGCUGACCACAGGACUGCAUACAGUUGCUGAUAUCUAUUGCCGUGAUUGUCGUGAGGUGUUGGGUUGGAAGUAUGAAAGAGCUUAUGAAGAGACACAAAGAUACAAGGAAGGGAAGUUCAUAUUUGAGAAGUCAAAGAUUGUGAAGGAGAAUUGGUAGCAAACGUGAGGAUGGUCACCGAGUAAUCCUCACGAUAGAAGCUAUCUUUCUGUUUGGCAUGGCUGUCUGUGUGAUCUGAAUUAUGAACAGAACAAUCGGUUUCUGUAUAUAUGAUUGCUUCUAGUCAUAUUCCUUCCAAUUGUGCAUCUGUGUUCACUGCUUCUGUAAAGUUUGCCAAUUGGCAAAUGUUCAUCUAUGAAAAUGCACUCAUCUCGUAGAUGUUGGUCCCGAAGUCAUGUAAACAGUUGUUUUUUAGUUUGGACACCUAUAUGUGUCUUCAUUUC